Long non-coding RNA from Myotis brandtii (Brandt's bat), 312 nucleotides. RefSeq lists it as uncharacterized. The transcript has 3 exons. NCBI's taxonomy places the organism in Eukaryota, Metazoa, Chordata, Mammalia, Chiroptera, Vespertilionidae. The record is from RefSeq and is a predicted model, not a curated record.
AACCCCUGAGCCAGCCCUGGGGGCUGGGCUCCCCGUUCGGAUGAAACGGAGUCUCCUGAACAGGAAAGCGGAUUCGCUCACAGUCGGUGGGAAGCCGGUUGCACGCGCUGUGAACCCAAAGACGAGACGAGGUCACGAUCCCUCUUUUAUAACCGAGAACACGGGCUUCGGGCUGCAAGGGCCUUGCUCAAGGUCACAGCCAAGGUGAGGCCAAACCAAGAGGAGGCAGUCCAUGAACCUGGGAGAGGGCUCUCGCCAGACACGGAGUCUUGGACACCUUCACCCUGGACAUCCAGCCUGCAGAACUAAGAG